Molecule: ribosomal RNA, 482 nt
Filed under: uncultured bacterium
Lineage: Bacteria
Description: bacterial SSU rRNA
Rfam family: Bacterial small subunit ribosomal RNA
Source: RNAcentral
AUUGAACGCUGGCGGCAUGCCUUACACAUGCAAGUCGAACGGUAACAGGUCUUCGGAUGCUGACGAGUGGCGAACGGGUGAGUAAUACAUCGGAACGUGCCCGAUCGUGGGGGAUAACGGAGCGAAAGCUUUGCUAAUACCGCAUACGAUCUACGGAUGAAAGCAGGGGACCGCAAGGCCUUGCGCGGACGGAGCGGCCGAUGGCAGAUUAGGUAGUUGGUGGGAUAAAAGCUUACCAAGCCGACGAUCUGUAGCUGGUCUGAGAGGACGACCAGCCACACUGGGACUGAGACACGGCCCAGACUCCUACGGGAGGCAGCAGUGGGGAAUUUUGGACAAUGGGCGCAAGCCUGAUCCAGCCGUGCCGCGUGCAGGAUGAAGGCCUUCGGGUUGUAAACUGCUUUUGUACGGAACGAAAAGACUCUUUCUAAUAAAGAGGGUCCAUGACGGUACCGUAAGAAUAAGCACCGGCUAACUACGUG